GUAUGCAUGUAUGUAUGCAUGUAUGUAUGCAUGUAUGUAUGUAUGUAUAUUGCGUGUCUGUGGAACGUAGGUGUGUGUAUAUUCUUUCUCUCUAUGUAUAUCUGUGUGCUAAUAUCAGUGUGUAGUUACUGAAGUGCUUGUUGUGUGAGUUUAUAUUGUGUAUGUGAAUACUUAUGUAUUGUAUUUAUCCAUUGUAUGUACUUCGCCGAAUAUGUGUCAUUGGAUGUGUGUGUGAUUAUUAUAUAUAUAUAUUUGGGUAAUAAUGACAGGGCUUGACGAAUGUUAUGAGUCUAUUGUGUAUGUGUAGUUAGUUUCUGGAAUAGUUGUGCCUAGUGUGUGAAUACACUUUGAAUACACCUGAUUUAUGUGCAUAUAUGUGAGAAUUUGUGUUUGCCUGUUAAGAAGUGUGUGUAAAUGAGUGUAUAUUAAUGGGAGAGUGCAUGUGGGUGUAUGUGAGUGUGUGUGAGCCCCAGGAGUGCCAUGCCCCAGGGGCAGUGAGAGUGGCCCCUAUUGUGUCCCUCUGAACUCCCAAGUCAAUGCAAUUUUUAACCACUGGCUUGUGGUACUGUGGAAAUCACAAGGGGCUGUCAGAGUUGGCUCCUCUGCAAACUGUACAGUGCUAAAUCAGAGCAUAUGCUGAGACAGAAAACGCCGAAGAUUGGAGCAAGUACAGUAUCUGUGCGCCCCCUAGCGUAAGGCUCUCGCCAGCCUGCAAACCAAACCUACAACGAGGGGGAAAAUGUCUCUUAAAGGGAAAGGACUUUUUGGCUGGCACAUGCGAGCGAGCAAGAAACUUCUACGAAUAUUAAUGUGAUUAAGCGCAAAGGAUCAGCGAUGAGUCGGCUCUCGGCGUGACUGGAGCGCCCAGCGUCAGGGAGCGCUUUGUACAUGUGGCGAGUCAUUGCUGCGGAUCCGGGGCUGAGCUGCUCCCUGGUCUCACUGACAGAAGCCGUGUGUGCGCCUGAGCGGAGCGCUAGAAAGAAGCCUUGGUACAACAGCCCGUACAGAAGCACAGAGAGCAGUCCGUACAGAGAGAGAGCCGGAGCACUGUCAGACAUAAGAGCUGAGACAUCUCCAUGCCUAAGGAUGCUGGGGGGAGCUGGUGGGACCCAUCCCGGAUAUCCCUGCUUUUGCUUGAAAGACCAGCAGCGAGUCGCCCUUGGAAAUCCACCAGGCGCUGAAUUCAAAAUGACCAACAUCGGCCACCAGCAUUUUUUUUUCCAUUUAGAUGAACAGGAAAUCAUGGGACUACUAUCAGCUUCCUGCCAGAUUUCAGCACUUGGUACAAGGAUUCCCUGCUGACAGAAAGGAAUAAGAAGACUGAUAAGGAAGACAGGGCUCAGUGAAACAUUUUUCUGCGCCUGUUUCUCUACACCAAAGACUUUUUCACAUAGUAGAAAUACUGAAGAUCAGCGUUUAAAGCGACAGCAGGAUUCAACAUUAUGAAAAUGUAUUCAACAUAUCUCUGAACCAGAAGCCAACCAUAUGAAUAUACCCUUAAGUGAAUGGCACAUGUGAACAUAUGCUAGCCAAUAAUGUUUCACUUUGUCGAUUGGUCUAGAUGACGAUGUCAGAAUUACCAGCACUCACUGGUACUGAUUCAUGGAACAUGGGAGGAUUCCUGGAAGAACACAUGUUUCCCUUAAUGUUGUCCUUUGGAGCAGAUAUCCCCAGCAUGAAUAUGGAUCCCUGUAGUCCAGCUGUGAUUGGGUGAUUUCCCUGCUAGUCCAGCACUCAAGUAAGAAUCUUACCUAUGGAAGUGUGUAGCCAGCCUGAACAGGACCCAGGUAUCUGGGGAAAGCCCUGCCAUGAAAGGAAUCUGUUCAGUGGUCUGUAGCCUGAUUUCAUGGAGCCAACAUGAAGAAAGGCAAAAAUGUCCCUACUGCCAAUAAACAAGAGUCUGCCAUUGAUCGUGAUUCUGACCAGGGUAACUGAAUUGGCCAAGAAUCUGCAAACAUGAAUCUGGAGUGAUAUUAUACCUCAAGUUGUUUCAUUGCAUAGAAAGCAGACUACGACUUGCCUCUGGAAGAUCAAGGUCAACAGCCAUCCACAUAAAAGAAAAAUGAAGAACUGAAAGCUUUGCAGGUCUUUACAUGAUUUAUACCUCCCGGAUUACUCUAACAGUUCACUGAAUAGAGACUUGUUUAAAGACGAAGAAAACAACUUUCAUCCAAAAAAAAGACACCUUUUGAAAUGAUUUCAAAUUGUACUGUACUGUUUGUGGCCCGGUACUUACUGUGAUUGGGGGGAAGGCCACACCCCCUCUGGAAAUGGGGAUAAUCAAACACAUUACACUGUUAUAAACACUGUGGUUAUGGCUGUGUGCACAGGCAAAUGCUUUGUGUGUUCUAGUCAAGCUCUUAUAAGCCCUAUAUGUUUCAGAUUAAAAUAUCUUACUCAAGGUCACUCAAGGCAUAUGGUCCUGCUCAGAACAUUAAACAAAACAUUAGUUUUUACAACCUUUUGUAAUUUGGGAUUGUAUACAACAAGGGUCUUUUCUGUAAUCUUUUUCACUGGGUGACAGAAAUAUGAGAAUAGAAUUUAAAAACCAUUUAGGGAAACUUUGAAUCGAUUUCAUGCAUCGGGAUGAACGGCGAUGGGUCACUUUUAAUCCGGCUUUGGUGGAGCUUUGUUUUUCUUUUAAACAAACCAUUCAGAAUUGAAAGAAAAAGUGGAGAUUUGCUUAAAAGGUCAUUUACUUCUUAAA
This is a long non-coding RNA of Xenopus tropicalis (tropical clawed frog), 2707 nucleotides long. RefSeq lists it as uncharacterized. Lineage: Eukaryota; Metazoa; Chordata; Amphibia; Anura; Pipidae. The transcript is spliced from 10 exons. The record is from RefSeq and is a predicted model, not a curated record.